GAUGAACGCUGGCGGCGUGCCUAAUACAUGCAAGUCGAGCGAACAGACGAGGAGCUUGCUCCUCUGACGUUAGCGGCGGACGGGUGAGUAACACGUGGAUAACCUACCUAUAAGACUGGGAUAACUUCGGGAAACCGGAGCUAAUACCGGAUAAUAUAUUGAACCGCAUGGUUCAAUAGUGAAAGACGGUUUUGCUGUCACUUAUAGAUGGAUCCGCGCCGCACUAGCUAGUUGGUAAGGUAACGGCUUACCAAGGAAACGAUGCGUAGCCGACCUGAGAGGGUGAUCGGCCACACUGGAGCUGAGCCGCGCUCCAUACUCCUGCGGGAGGCAGCAGUAGGGAAUCUUCCGCAAUGGGCGAAAGCCUGGCGGAGCGACGCCACGUGAGUGAUGAAGGUCUUCGGAUCGUAAAACUCUGUUAUUAGGGAAGAACAAAUGUGUAAGUAACUAUGCACGUCUUGACGGUACCUAAUCAGAAAGCCACGGCUAACUACGUG
RNAcentral lists this ribosomal RNA (497 nucleotides) under uncultured bacterium. RNAcentral's name for it is "partial 16S ribosomal RNA". It matches the Rfam family "Bacterial small subunit ribosomal RNA", at positions 28 to 507 of the family's 1533-position model. The record is from RNAcentral.